This 5369-nucleotide long non-coding RNA is filed under the name Sus scrofa (pig). RNAcentral's name for it is "lncRNA (ENSSSCG00000055490.1)". The record is from RNAcentral. Lineage: Eukaryota; Metazoa; Chordata; Mammalia; Artiodactyla; Suidae.
UUGGGGGAUGAGGGCCUAAGCCAGUGAACGCUACAGGAAUCCCGGGACUGAGCAUCUUCUAGGAGUUCCUUGGGGUGUUAUGCUGCCUCUUGCCAUGGGUAUUUUAUUUUCCUAGUCAUCCUUGGUUCUGCUUCUAGCAUCAGUGUUUUCUUCCUCCCUCCCUCUCUUUAUCUUACCUGGUGCCACUGCAAAUCUUUUUUCUUUUCUGCCAUGCAUUCUGUAACUGGCAAAAAAAUAAAUAAAUAAAAAAUAAAUUAGAAGGAUACGAUUUAGGAGGAAAGUCCUUAAAAGAAAGGGAGUCACUCAACCAGGGCAUUGGAGCUGAAAAUCUGGAGGUUUUCAGUUCUCCUCUUCAAAAAACUGCCAGUGUCCAAGUUACCCAAGUCUCACCUUCUCAGCAUGGAAUUCAAGAAGCCAUGUGGUCCCAACCUCUCUUCAGCUGCCAGUAUGAACUGGGAUCCUUGGAGACUAAUAGACCAGGGUAUGACCUUGCAUGGUCACUUCAUCACCAUGGGACUGGGGACAAUCAUUACACCUGCUGUGUGAUCUUGGACCAGUCACCAGCCCCUGCUGUGCCUCAGAGGCUCCACAGGUACCUACUUCAUGGAUCAGGAGGAUUAAGUGAGUUGAUGACAGCAAUUAAGACAGUUGGCACAAAGUCAGUUCUUAAUUAUGGGAGCUGCCACCCUGACGGUGGUGAAGAUCUGAAAAGAGUGCCCUUUGUUUUCCAUUAGGAAUUACUUUUGCAGAUUUUAGGUCAAAGGCCCCAGCAUUUGCUUUCCAUUAUGAAUUACUUUUGAAGAUUUUAGGUCAAAUGCACCAGCAUCCUACACUAUGGCUCCCAUCUCCUCUGACUUGUCUCUCAACACUCAGAACUUGCUUUGAGCAUCCAGGUUGGAUCUUCCUUCAUUCUGCCUUGAAUUCCAUCUCCCCCACUGAGUUUCAUUCUUUUGCUGGGAAGAGAUUAUAUUCUGCAUAUUCUGUAUUAUGGAGCGAAUACAUAAAUAUAAAGAAAAAAUAAAGAGUAUGAAAAAAAUACAUAAGUGAGUACAGACCAUGCCAAAAAAAGGAACCAUUCCCAGACAUCCCGCUAAUACCAAGAGUCUUGGAAAGACUACAUACUAAAAAGUACCUCAGAGGUCUGAAAACAUUCUUUUGGUAACAAAAAGUAUGCUUCUUUUUUUAUUUCCCCUUUGGGAGGAGUCAAAACCUCCAUGUCAUUCCCUUUUCAUUGAAUGAGCCAAAACUGCCUGCUUCUCCAUCAGGAACCAGCUUCAACUUUCCCCAACAUCAAGGAGUCUCCAUCCAACACAAGAGAAUAAAUCCAGGUUCCAUUAGUGGGUCAAAGAACAACGAAAGAACAAACCUCAGUCUGUCUGUUUCCUGUCUGUCUCUCUCCACAUGUGUGCGUACCCACACAUCUACAAAUGAAGUCAUCAAAAUCCCAACAGUUUUUAUUUCCGGAUAGUAAGAAUUUGAAUGCUGUCAAUUCUCUCUUUUUUGCUUGCUGUAAUUUCCAAGGUCUCUACCAUGAGAAUUAUUACCAUGGUAAUUAGAAAAAAUUAACAAGGAAGAGUCCUCUGGGAGGAAAAUAAACCCUCCUUAGAUAAAAGCAUGUGCUAACAUCUUAAGCCCAGAUUGUCUAGGACGGUUCUAAUUUUGCACCGUGGAUUCGCUGAUCCCAAACUACCCUCUUUUCGUUUGUGCUGCGAUCGUCAAGGUGAGAUGCUCCUUAGUAAAUCUGAUUCACUGAGAAAAACAAGCCCUAGACCAUGGCCAUGAGGUUAUGGGGACAUGACCCAGCGUCCAUAAGUCAUUCACGUGUCAGCAGGUCCAAGAGCACUGGGGACACUGAGCGAAGCUCAUGUCCGUAGUUGACAUAAACAGGACUCUUGAUCCUGUCUUCAUUAGCAUUGCUCGCAUCAUCGUCAACAGUUAGGGAACUCUUGCUACUUGCCAGAAAGAACAUUAAAUUCCUGCAUUACUUCACUUAACCUCCCAACACAUCCGAGGCAGAAAUUCUUACUGUUUUCCACUUAGAAGGAAGCUUGGAAAGAUUAUCACCGAGAAAAUAUUCACUUCACCUUAUUCUACUUUAAAGCAGUUCAUGUGAGAAAGAUAUAGACAAUUGGGUUAAGAAUCUAGUCUGUGGAAACAAACUCUGAAAAUAUAAAGCCAUAAAAUGAUAGUUUCAAAGGGGGAGCUGGGGACGCUGCCAAGCGACAGUGAGUCAAAAGAUGUUUGUGCUCCUACAGCCCAGAAGGGAGACCUCCCUAAGACUGCCAGGGAACAGAAAGACCACAGGAAAAAAAUAGUUGCACUUUAACGGUCAACACUUCCAAAACGCAUAAACCGAUUGGAACCCGGCACGGCCUCUGUAUAGACUGAGCGGAGAGUGUAAUCCCAGUCAGGGUAGCUAAGACCUUGAGUUAGCAUGCCAUCAUAAUUAGUCAACAGCUAUUUAUUUAUUCAUUUUUUGUCUUUUUGCCAUUUCUAGGGCCACACCCAUGGCAUAUGGAGGGUCCCAGGCUAGGUAGGGGUUGUCGAAUCUGAGCUGUAGCCACCGGCCUACGUCACAGCUCAUGGCAACUCAGGAUCCUUAACCCACUGAGCAAGGCCUGGGAUUGAACCCAUAACCUCAUGGUUCCUGGUCGGAUUUGUUAACCACUGAGCCAUGACAGGAACUCCUCAACAGUUAUUUUCUUAACAAUGCAAUUGUUAUUUUUUUAAAGGGAGAGCAUAUCUGAGAUCACCUGUGUCCCUUUAAUAGGCUUUAUUUUCAUAGUUGUAUGGUUUUAUUUCAUUGCUAAAGUGAAACUGUAAUUCAUUUUAUUUUAUUUAUUUUUUUAUUUUUUUGUCUUUUUUUGUGUGUGCGUCUUUUUGCUAUUUCUUGGGCAGUUCUUACAGCAUAUGGAGGUUCCCAGGCUAGGGGUCUAAUCGGACCUGUAGCUGCUGGCCUACGCCAGAGCCACAGCAACGCGGGAUCCAAGCCGCAUCUGCGACCUACACCACAGCUCACCUCAAUGCCGGAUCCUUAACCCACUGAGCAAGGGCAGGGACCGAACUCGCAACCUCAUGGUUUCUAGUCGGAUUCGUUAACCACUGCGCCAUGACAGGAACUCCUGUAAUUCAUUUUAAACACUACAUGUUACAGGCAAGCUGCUUACAAUGUAUGGUCUCAGGAAUUUUUGGAAACUUGUCUUUAGGUAUUAUUGGCACAAAAUAAUAGCCUAGAGUUUUGUCCUCUGGGUGUAAAAGAGGACAAAAAAGCUUCCUGUUGCUUGACGACUUAUAAAAGUUAACUCUGCCACAAAACAUGUGAUAGGGAAAAAGGCUGUGAAAUAGGAAAGCCAGAAAAGGCGGUAGGAAUCCAGAAAGUGUAAGAUUAUAAUCAAAGCUCAGGAUUUCUAAUUUAAAAGGAAAGUGACAAGGCACAGACAGGGAGAAAAUCUUUGCAGAAGGCAUUCUGUUAUUAUCAGAUUAAAAAAAAAAACUGUCAUCCAAAAUAUGCUAAGAACCCUAAAAACUCAACAAUAGGGGAACAAUUUAAUUUAAAAAUUAGCCAAACACUUUAACAGACCUCUCACCAAAGAUGUAUAGAUAGCAAAUAAACAUAUGUAAAGAUGCUCCACAUGACAUGUCAUCAGAGAUACAUAACUUAAAACAGAAACGAGGUACCGGAGUUCCCGUCAUGGCGCAGUGGAAACAAAUCCAACUAGGAACCAUGAGGUUGCGGGUUUGAUCCCUGGCCUCGCUCAGCGGGUUAAGGAUCUGGCGUUGCCAUGAGCUGUAGUGUAGCUCGCAGAUGCAGCUUGGAUCCCACAUUGCCGUGGCUGUGGUGUAGACUGGAAGCUGCAGCUCCGAUUCGACCCCUCGCCUAGGAACCUCCAUAUGCUGCAGACGUGGCCCUAAAAAGACAAAAGGCAAAUAAAUAAAUAAAUAAAUAAAACAAUCCUCUAAAAGAAAAAAAGAGAUACCACCACAGACCUUUUGGAAUGACCCAAACCCAGGACACCAGUAACACCAAAUGCUUGCGAGGGUGUGGAGCAACAGGAACGCGUAUGCACUGCUGGUGGGGAAGUGAAACUAUACCGUCACUUUGGCAGAUGGUUUGGCAGCUUCUUACAAAACUAAGCAUACUUUUACCAUACAAUCUAGUGAUUCAGCUCCUUGGCAUUUACCCCAAGAAGCUGAACAUUUAUGUCCACACAAACACCUAUACUGUUUACAGCAGUCUUAUCCAUAAUCAUCAGAACUUGGAAGCAACCAAGAAGUCCUUUAUCAUUUGAUAAAUCAACUAUGGUACAGCCCGACAAUGGAAUAUUAUUUGGCACUAAAGAGAUGAGUUGUCAGCCAUGAAAAGAUAUGGAGGAACCUAAAAUGCACAUUAGUAAGUGAACGAAGCCAAUCCGAAAAGGCUACAUAGUGUAUGAUUCCAACUGUAUGAUAUUCUGGAAAAGGCAACCUAUGGAGACCAUAAAAAGAUGAGUGGUUGCCAGGGGUUAAGGGGAGGGGAGGGGUGAGUAGGUGGAGCCUAGAGGAUUUUUAGGCAGCAAAACUGGUCUCUAUGAUACUAUAACGCUGGACAUGUGUCAUUACACACUUGCUAAAACCCACAGAAUGUACAAUACCGAGAGUGAGCCCCAAUGUAAACCAUGGACUUUGGGUGAUGAUGACGUGUCAGUGUAGCUUCAUGGAUUGAGGGGAGGAGAGGAGGUUGCACGAUUGUGGGGAAAGUGGGUACAUGGGAAUUAUCUGUACUUUCCACUGAAUUUUGCUGUGACCCUAACAUUGCUCUAAAAAAAAAAAGUCUAUUUUUGUGUGUUUAUACAUGUUGAUGGAUAUGUGUGCAAAUGUGUGUCUGUGUUUAAUCAUUAUCAUCAUCCCUCCCCCCCCCUUUUUUUUACAAGACUAUUCCUCUCAUUUAGAGAUGACAUUGUGAAAUUGGAUCAGGUUUAUCCUUGGGGCUUCCCAGGCUCUACUUCGAGUCCCCAUCCCUGGCACCAGAGUGCUGGGGCUUCUCUGCCACAUGCUAAACAUGGUGUUGAAACCUAUGGGAUAGAGGUGAACCAGUCCUGCCCUCACGAAGUUCACUGUCAAAGCAGAGGGGACGCGUUAAACAAGUCAUUGCAGUAAGAUGCAGAUGGGUUGAGUUGUGAUGAGCACCCUGAAAGCACAGAACGAGGAGAUAAAACCUAGUCAGUGGAGUCAAGAAGGCUUCCCUGAAGAAGACAUUUAAUCGGCAGCUGUGGGAGAAACUGAAAGGCCCAGAGGACAGUAGCACAAAGAACAUGAGGAGGAGAGAGGAGAGAUGCAGCUGGAGAGGUGGGCAGGGGACCGAUUAUUGAAACCACCCUAAUAGCAAGGAC